UACAUGCAAGUCGAGCGGACAGAUGGGAGCUUGCUCCCUGAUGUUAGCGGCGGACGGGUGAGUAACACGUGGGUAACCUGCCUGUAAGACUGGGAUAACUCCGGGAAACCGGGGCUAAUACCGGAUGCUUGUUUGAACCGCAUGGUUCAGACAUAAAAGGUGGCUUCGGCUACCACUUACAGAUGGACCCGCGGCGCAUUAGCUAGUUGGUGAGGUAACGGCUCACCAAGGCGACGAUGCGUAGCCGACCUGAGAGGGUGAUCGGCCACACUGGGACUGAGACACGGCCCAGACUCCUACGGGAGGCAGCAGUAGGGAAUCUUCCGCAAUGGACGAAAGUCUGACGGAGCAACGCCGCGUGAGUGAUGAAGGUUUUCGGAUCGUAAAGCUCUGUUGUUAGGGAAGAACAAGUGCCGUUCAAAUAGGGCGGCACCUUGACGGUACCUAACCAGAAAGCCACGGCUAACUACGUGCCAGCAGCCGCGGUAAUACGUAGGUGGCAAGCGUUGUCCGGAAUUAUUGGGCGUAAAGGGCUCGCAGGCGGUUUCUUAAGUCUGAUGUGAAAGCCCCCGGCUCAACCGGGGAGGGUCAUUGGAAACUGGGGAACUUGAGUGCAGAAGAGGAGAGUGGAAUUCCACGUGUAGCGGUGAAAUGCGUAGAGAUGUGGAGGAACACCAGUGGCGAAGGCGACUCUCUGGUCUGUAACUGACGCUGAGGAGCGAAAGCGUGGGGAGCGAACAGGAUUAGAUACCCUGGUAGU
This 760-nucleotide ribosomal RNA is filed under the name Bacillus amyloliquefaciens. RNAcentral's name for it is "bacterial SSU rRNA". It matches the Rfam family "Bacterial small subunit ribosomal RNA", at positions 52 to 794 of the family's 1533-position model. Lineage: Bacteria; Bacillati; Bacillota; Bacilli; Caryophanales; Bacillaceae. The record is from RNAcentral.